GGAGUCUUAGUUUAAUUAAGAAUUUAUCCCUUACAAGGAUAGGGUUUUUGGCUCUU
RNAcentral lists this transfer RNA (56 nucleotides) under Strongyloides sp. EN-2020b. Its description in RNAcentral is "tRNA-Val". Lineage: Eukaryota; Metazoa; Nematoda; Chromadorea; Rhabditida; Strongyloididae. The record is from RNAcentral.